AGAAGAGAAGGCAUUCCUGAUCCAAAGAGCAUCAGAAGAAAAGUCCAUAUAAACUUGCUUACCUUAUCACAUUAGAGCCUGUUUGUUUGCUGCAGGAGAAAGCAAAGGGCAAGAUAAAACCUGAAGAUACAGAAGAAAGAUGGGAUCAAUAAUAGAACAUGGCUUGGUGAAGAGAAGAGAAACUGAGGCACGAGUGUUGUGUGGUCAAGAUCAUACAGCUAAUAGGUGGCAGUCUGACUCCAAGUCUGUGCUUUUCACUGCUGUGCUAUGCCACUAAAGGUACGAUUAUAUGCAAGACCUGAUGCUAUCAGAAGAGGAUCCGGGGACUAUGCUCUCCAUAUAACAAAGAGAUUAAUAGAAUUUUAUGAAGACUACUUUAAAGUGCCCUAUUCCUUGCCAAAACUAGAUCUUUUAGCUGUGCCUAAGCAUCCGUAUGCUGCUAUGGAGAACUGGGGACUAAGUAUUUUUGUGGAACAAAGAAUACUGCUGGAUCCCAGUGUUUCAUCUAUUUCUUAUUUGCUGGAUGUCACCAUGGUCAUUGUUCAUGAGAUAUGUCACCAGUGGUUUGGUGACCUUGUGACGCCUGUGUG
Molecule: small RNA, 590 nt
Filed under: Pan troglodytes (chimpanzee)
Lineage: Eukaryota; Metazoa; Chordata; Mammalia; Primates; Hominidae
Description: processed transcript
Source: RNAcentral